UACGUAGGCAGCGAGCGUUGUUCGGAGUUACUGGGCGUAAAGGGUGUGUAGGCGGGUCUUUAAGUUUGGUGUGAAAUCUCCCGGCUCAACCGGGAGGGUGCGCCGAAUACUGAGGGACUUCGAGUGCGGGAGAGGAAAGUGGAAUUCCUGGUGUAGCGGUGAAAUGCGUAGAUAUCAGGAGGAACACCGACGGCGCAGGCAGCGUCCUGGCCGCUUGCUGACACUGAGGCACGAAAGCUGGGGGAGCAAACAGG
This 254-nucleotide ribosomal RNA is filed under the name uncultured bacterium. Its description in RNAcentral is "partial 16S ribosomal RNA". It matches the Rfam family "Bacterial small subunit ribosomal RNA", at positions 524 to 776 of the family's 1533-position model. The record is from RNAcentral.